GGGUGAUCCAGCUGCAAAAUCUAUCACCCCAUUAGGACCACCUUCCCCAAUAGAGGAGGACCAUUCUUUGGUCAAGUGUAUACAAGUAGCUGCACUUUCCUGCUAGAACCUCCAAACAAGCUCUCAGGGCCCAAAGUGGUUGCACCAAUUUGCAGUUCCACCAGCAAUGUAUGAGCAUACCUUUUUUCCCAU
RNAcentral lists this small RNA (192 nucleotides) under Spermophilus dauricus (Daurian ground squirrel). RNAcentral's name for it is "7SK RNA (ENSSDAG00000008294.1)". It matches the Rfam family "7SK RNA", at positions 123 to 331 of the family's 331-position model. Rfam says of the family: 7SK was discovered as an abundant small nuclear RNA in the mid-70s but a possible function has only recently been suggested. Two independent studies have found that 7SK RNA binds the CDK9/cyclin T complex (known as elongation factor P-TEFb). The record is from Rfam by way of RNAcentral. Lineage: Eukaryota; Metazoa; Chordata; Mammalia; Rodentia; Sciuridae.